This 353-nucleotide ribosomal RNA is filed under the name uncultured bacterium. RNAcentral describes it as "bacterial SSU rRNA". It matches the Rfam family "Bacterial small subunit ribosomal RNA", at positions 917 to 1289 of the family's 1533-position model. The record is from RNAcentral.
GGACCCGCACAAGUAGUGGAGCAUGUGGUUUAAUUCGAAGAUACGCGCAGAACCUUACCAACACUUGACAUGUUCGUCGCGACUCUAAGAGAUUAGAGUUUUCGGUUCGGCCGGACGAAACACAGGUGCUGCAUGGCUGUCGUCAGCUCGUGUCGUGAGAUGUUGGGUUAAGUCCCGCAACGAGCGCAACCCUCACUUUUAGUUGCCAUCAUUAAGUUGGGCACUCUGAAAGAACUGCCAGUGAUAAGCGGGAGGAAGGUGUGGAUGACGUCAAGUCCUCAUGGCCCUUACGGGUUGGGCUACACACGUGCUACAAUGGUAUGACAAUGGGGUUAAUCCCAAAAAGCUAUCUC